Long non-coding RNA from Bombyx mori (domestic silkworm), 5980 nucleotides. RefSeq lists it as uncharacterized. The transcript is spliced from 6 exons. The record is from RefSeq and is a predicted model, not a curated record. Lineage: Eukaryota; Metazoa; Arthropoda; Insecta; Lepidoptera; Bombycidae.
GCCAUAAAGAAUAAAUACAUUCGAUAAUUUUGAACGUAUAUUUGCUUAUAUUCAAGGACACAGUAAGGCCUACCUCUGUGUUCGUUAGUAAUGUGUUAAUCGUGUUAAAUAAGUACCUAACACGUUAUUUUGAAACUACUUCCCGAAGUUCCGUAGGUAUAGGUGGGUGUGGAUUAGAUGUCUAGUUACAUAAGCACACACAAAUAUGUUUAGUAAGUGUCUCAUAACUAACUGUGUUACGACUAGUUCAGGAUAAAAUAAUGAGCAGCCACAAACGGAACGCACGCGCAGCGCAGGGCGACGCGGAAAUCACAACACACACUUCCGCGUGCCGCCAUCUUGGCUAACACCUCGUGAGAUUCGCCUGUUACUCAGAUUACACGCCAAUGUUGUGCUAAAUUUUAACUUAAACUACACCACAAAUUAGAAGACAGUAGAAAGAAUAAUAAGCAGAAACGAAGUCGGUACGAAGUAUAACUCAAAAGGAAACGAUUACGGUAUUGCAGCUGAUCAGUGAUUGUAGUAACAGUUACAUAUGGCAAGGUGUGGCAACCCGCGGUAGUCUGCAGGUCCCGUGCGUGUUUCUCAAGCAAGGAUAGUGUCCGGGCGAGACUUGCAAGUUGCGGCGGCUACGUAAUCCCACGGCAACGCCACUUCCUGAAGGUGGCGCAAGCGGUACGCGAAUGUCGGCCGAGCAUUUCGCGCCACUUUCGUAAUCCGUUGCGUGGUGCGACCGGCCGCCUUGCCCGGCCCGCAGGAAGUAAAAGUUCGAAGAUGGGUGGAUGAGCUCACGGCCACCAUGAACAGUCCAAACCGAAGCGCAUUACUUCUUCACGAGCCGUGCUGACUCACAAGACGUCCUACCACCAGGAAAAACAGAACAAAACUUACUAACAGAACGAAGCUUAUUUUGAUCGGAAACUUCGACCGGUUUCAAAGCCGACCGGAAACCGGAACCGCGGCAAGGGUUAGAGCGGAGACGACGCUCGUUUCCGUCGGAAGAACGGUGCGGCGCCAGGAAGGUUGCUAUAUACUAGUAGAUUCCUAGAAAAUAAAUAAAGCGUCGCCAUAUUGCCGGACUCCGAUCAAUAAAUCCGUUCAGUUUUGCAUCUAUAUUCAUCUGUUAUGAACAGUUUCUAGCCAAAUCUCGCAAAUCAGUCUUGAAAAACUCCCUUAAUCGUGAUUCUAUAUUGUUAUUUGGUAGUUCAAGGUGUUAGGAAAAGAUUAAAAUUUCGACAACAACUGCUUGUACAAGCAGAAAAUGUCUUUAAGUAAAAUUCAGCUGAAUAAUUAAUUUUUAUAUUAAAAGAAAACCAUGAAUCAAUAUUUUUCUUUUUAGUUUCAGUGCUCGAACCUAUAAGUUCAAAAAGUAUUAUUGAAAGAAGGACUUUAAAAGCGCGUAGUUUAAGAAACUCCUGUGAUUCGAUGUGGCUGAAAGGACCAGAUGCCGUGGCUACUUUUAAGAAGCGAAUCGACUAGGCUUGUUUUGAAAUCAAGUCUCAAGUCCUCAUGUCUCAAGUUGGACGGCGGCAUUAAUGCUUAUGAACUCGUGUGUCUACGUAACACCAGAUGGAUCGUGAGCUAUUUUGCCCAUAACUCUAAAAACAAAACAAUAAAUACUUAUAGUUAUACUUAUUAUACUUAUACUUAUUACUUUUUUGAUAUCUCAAAAAAAGUCAAAGGUUAUUUCUGCUGCCAAUAUCUUGGAUAACUUAAUUUUGUUAAUUUGUAUAUCAUAAACUUAAUUUUAAUAACAAUAAAAAAACCAUAUAAUCUGUGUUCAGUUCUAUCGUGCAGAAUCUAAAAAGUAAUUUAUAUCUAAACGUUACUUACAAUAGUGUGUCAUAGAGAUUACAAAUUAUAGCAAUUAUUACAAAUUUUAAGAAAAAAUUAACGAUCACAUGUGAUACAUCUAACGUCUUCCACUUGGAUUAAUAAAAACAAACUUCCCAAGAGCUUUAUUGAGAAACAGUUUUCUUAUUACAUGCAAGAAUUACUGCUGCUGUUUUUAAACGCGCGUUACGCAUUGAAAACUUUUCGAGCUAAUUUCCCCUUUGCAGGUCUUGCAAGGAUGUAUUUGUUCUCUUACUUUAUAAAGAGCUCACAUACAUACUUUAAGAAUGCAUUGUUACAAUCGUGCGGUAAAGAGCGAUGUCAAGUGAACUCAUGUCGAUUCUCGGAACCGAACAGAAAACAUUUUUAGGUCCGGUUUCAAGCGUACUUCGAAUAACGGAAAUUUACGCUAUCGUGUGUGGAAUGCUAUAAGAAUUGAUAGUUUAUUCAAAAGCUAUAAAAAUACUGUUCUUUUUUUCUGUUAAAAUGAAGAAAACACCCCGUCGAAAACUUCCUAAAUCACAAGUUUGUUGCAAAUUUUGAGCAAGCACAGAAUAAAGUGUAAUUGUAGCUAUUUCAGUACGUAACUAGCUACACGUGAUUGUUUAAAAUUGUAAUAAACCUUCAUAACUAAACACGGUUGGAACACAGGCAUAUUCUAAAACGGUACACGCAUUAUCGGAAUUAUCGGUUUACUAAAUCGUGCUGUAUUCCCAACGGACGAGGAAGGAAACUUAUUGAUAUUUGGCGUCGCGCGCCUAACCGGUUCUGCAAGUGUUAUUCUGAAAACAAGAUGCCUCUGGACUUUCCGAUCAGACGGUAUUUUACUGAUUUGUUUUUUUCUUUUUCUUGUAUAACGUAUGUGCCGCGCUUAGAAGACCAUAAUAACUUUUUACUGAUGGACAAAGCUGAAGGUCACGCGGAACUCGAGUCUAGUCCGACUAUAAUUUUUGUUUCGAAUUGCGAAGGAAGUUAUAAAAACUUGAUCAGAGGUAUUGAUGGGGCAGGUAACAUUUAAGUCCUUUUUUUAGGUAUCUGUGUCGGCUUGUAGUUUUUUUAAAUGUUAAUUUGAAACAUAAUUUACAAGUAAUGCUGAGCUGAUGUGUUUUUGUUUAUCUGCUUUGUACAAAAGAACAAAGGUUCUGUUAAGCAUUCAACAAUUGCAAGCAAGUGAAAGCAAGUGUUCACAAUUUAGAAAGAAGUUUGGAAACAUAUGACAAUUUUUUUUUUUUAUUAUUGCUUAAUAUUUUAAUUUGUGUAAAACAACGCAAGCUGAAGAUUAUUUUUGACUCUUUAUUAUGGUUCCAUCUUAAUUGAGUCAACCUACCUCGUAUGUUUUCGCGACAACAACAAUAUUAUGGACUCUAAAUGAUGUUGACGUUUCGUAUUCUAUUAAAAAAAAAACUAUCUUAUAAAGUUGUCGGUUGACUUUAUCAUGAUAGUCCAAUAAGUAGAUAAAUAUUUAGUUGUUAUAUGUAUUUUCAUAUUUUGUUUCAUUAAUAUGCAGAUGAAGAUGUAAUGAAUAUGUAUGUGCCCACUGAGAAGAGGCCUCGACGACCGUUCUAGAGGUCAAUGUCAACUGAAUAACACGACCAUAGAGAUAAGAGCUAUUCGUGAAUCUUUAACUCCCUCUCCGUCUGACAAGAUACGGAUUACAACGGGGAUUUGAAAAGGUCAAGAUAUAUUGGCUUGUUUUGACUGCCGGUUCCGCCGGUUGUAGGUGGACAUACCCGAUAGCACUUACGAGGAAACUUACUCGUCAUCUUCCGAUAAGUUUUUAACAGCUUUGCAAUACUUUUAUGUGUACUCAAACAUUAUAAUUCAGACUAAUUAAACACGCAAGGCGAAUUAAAAGCACAAAGAGCGCGAACAUCGGAUCUUUUUUUUCCAAAUAAAAACUUUUUAUUGAAAUUACAAUAAAUUUUAUCGACGUCCACCCGGAUUGGUCUGAUAUAAUAUAAAAAAUACUAAUUUAAUAUAAAGAAAUCCAAACAAUAUUUACUGUAAUAAUUUCAAAGCAAUUUAUUAGUUGUGUUAGUUCUGAUUUUGUGAUUAGGUAUAGAUAAUAUGAUCACAAAAUAAAAUACUCUUCAUUUGACUUUGCGCAGACACAACAUAAAAGAAAAGAAGUUUCUAGAUUCCAAGUUAUAACGCUAAAUUGUUGAUCGAUUUAAUAUCUAAAUGGUAAGCAAGAUUCCUGACUUAAUAUGUACGUUGAUUAUUUUUUCUGUCCAGUAUGUUAUUGUAUUAAUUUGAGUUCUAAUAGCUACUAUAGUGAGAAUGAAGUAAACAUUUCCUGGGAAUUCCAAAAUACCAUAGAUUUAAAAUCAACGUCAUAAAAAUGUUUACAAGAAAAUCUGUAAAUGAAGACAAAAUAGCAUUAGUUAUUUUUAUAAUGUUAUAGUUUGUGUGUUCAUUCACUGUUUAAGCUAAGAUAAAUAUGUAGUUUGGGAAAUUCAAAGAAGACCUAUUUGUUUAUUGUAGAAAGGGAAACGAGAUAAAUUCUAAAAGAAAUUUCUAACACUGACGGAACAGUAUAAGAAAAGUACCUUUAAAACAUUGCAUAGCGAGGAAGUUAAUCUUAAUUAUAAUUUGUUAUCUUACGUUGUGCUGGUAAAUAAUAAAAACAAGCUAUUAACAAUCUCAAUAAAAAUUUAAUGGGUUGCCAACUGUUAUCGUGUCAGAAGAAACAUCACAAUAUAUUCACAUUACGUACCUAUACGGUUUUCGGCACAAAUGAAAACAGAUUGGUAAGUGCCCGGUAUCAAACCUGAAAUCUUUCGAUUGAGAAGCACAUAUGUCAGUAUAAAGCCAUGAUCCAACAGCUGUAUUGACGAGAGAGAUAAUGUUGUUUUUGUUUUGCGUUCAUAACAUGGUGUGUCGUGUAAUGCGAAGAUUCAAUUUGUUUGAGUUUUAGAACACAUGACUAGUAAGUAGUUCUUCAAACGAGUUGAAAGGGGCAUGUUCGCAUGGCGUGACAACUCGCCGGUCCAAUUGGUCGAGAUUGCAAGCUUCCGGCGCGCGCUUCCGCCCGAUAACAGCAAGACGCCAAACGCGAGUAAACCGCAACGGUCAACGGACUUCAACAACUACUUGCUAAAUCUAUAGACCGGCAUUGUCAAUAUUAAAAAAAAAAAUAGCCGAGCUCACGACUUACCAAUCUUAACUGUAGCACAAAUGUGAGAUCGAGAUAUGAAGUCGAAAUUUCAUUUGUAUUCUAUAAGACUGAGAAAUAUGCAGUACUGUUAUUAUUAUCUAAAUAUCAUGUUACUCCAUAAUAAAGUUAUAUCUAACGAUUGAUGUCAGUUACAUCGUACCUACCAGCUUUACAAUGUCGAAAAUCAUUUAACCGCAUGCACGCGUUUGAAUUUAGGAAUCAUACUUUAUGCGAUUGACACAGUAGUUACUGUAAACUACUGAGAUAACAAACAAACUUCCACUGACUUAGCAAUAGUAUUCACACGAGACGGAUCCACGUUUGGAAAUUACUUUCGAUUUUACGGAUUUUUUUUUCCUAAGCACCUAAAUUGUGUCUGGACACCAUAAACCGCCUCAUUAUAGAUGCCUGCGUCUUAUAAUUAAUGCCUACUGACGCACAGCACAAAGGGCAUUCAGAGCCCUCAAAAGCUUCACGAAGGGUUGCGAUAUCUAUAAUCGAAUAGAAUAAAUUCGACAAAAACCUCAAUCACAGCUAGUCUUAUUUGAUUGACGAUAGACUGUCGUCUGUCUACGGAACAAAUCACUCAUUCUGUCGUAGGUUUUCCUGAGAUCUUCCCACCGUAGUCGUUGGCUAUAAGUAUGGAGAUAGAUAGUCCAUUCUGGGUUCGAACAAGUAAAAAUCUAAGCAUGGACUAUAAAUAUCGUUCUCGAAGCCAGUAUGCUAUUUAGGUCGCCCCGCAAAUGAAAACGGAGCCAUAUGCUUACCACUAAAUAAAUUACAUUGUAAAAGAACAUGUGAUGUCAUCUUACAGACUAUAAAUUGAAAGUUUUUAUUGUUUAAUAUUGUAGUAUCUCUGCCUUCGGCAGUUUCUAGGCUUAAAAACUUCUUUUACUUAAAAUGUUGUGUUUGUUAUUUUCAUUUUAAGUCUAAACUCUAAAUCGACUAUGUUAUUAUUCGUUGACGUUUAAAUAUACUGCUAACUACUAA